CGUUCCCGGGCCUUGUACACACCGCCCGUCAAGUCACGAAAGUUGGUAACACCCGAAGCCGGUGGCCUAACCCCUUGUGGGAGGGAGCUGUCGAAGGUGGGACUGGCGAUCGGGACU
RNAcentral lists this ribosomal RNA (117 nucleotides) under uncultured bacterium. Its description in RNAcentral is "partial 16S ribosomal RNA". It matches the Rfam family "Bacterial small subunit ribosomal RNA", at positions 1369 to 1482 of the family's 1533-position model. The record is from RNAcentral.